RNAcentral lists this ribosomal RNA (254 nucleotides) under uncultured bacterium. RNAcentral describes it as "partial 16S ribosomal RNA". It matches the Rfam family "Bacterial small subunit ribosomal RNA", at positions 524 to 776 of the family's 1533-position model. The record is from RNAcentral.
UACGGGGGGGGCAAGCGUUUGUUCGGAAUUACUGGGCGUAAAGGCUCGUAGGCGGCCAACUAAGUCGGAUGUGAAAUCCCCAGGCUUAACCUGGGAACUGCAUCCGAUACUGGAUGGCUUGAAUCCGGGAGAGGGAUGCAGAAUUCCAGGUGUAGCGGUGAAAUGCGUAGAUAUCUGGAGGAAUACCGGUGGCGAAGGCGGCAUCCUGGACCGGCAUUGACGCUGAGUGAGCGAAAGCCAGGGGAGCAAACGGG